RNAcentral lists this non-coding RNA (29 nucleotides) under Mus musculus (house mouse). The record is from RNAcentral. Lineage: Eukaryota; Metazoa; Chordata; Mammalia; Rodentia; Muridae.
UGCAAGAUGAACAUCGUGCUCAGUAAAAG